RNAcentral lists this unclassified non-coding RNA (634 nucleotides) under Bombus terrestris (buff-tailed bumblebee). RNAcentral describes it as "misc RNA ENSBTSG00005025188.1". The record is from RNAcentral. Lineage: Eukaryota; Metazoa; Arthropoda; Insecta; Hymenoptera; Apidae.
AGUGUUGCGCUGAUACAAUGUUAAGCCUUAUGAAUCGAUUAUUCUUAUAUUAUUAACCGUAUUAAUCGUGGUAAAUUAUAAAAAUUGUUUCUAUUCUUCCAGAGAUCAGGAAGAUAUUCUCUCUCGUUACUUUGUUGAUAUAAGAUCACAGAACCGAAAAUAUAAGACGAAAUCGCGUAAGAAUAAGAGAAUAAAUAGACGAAUGGAACGGAGAAAAAUAAAACAGGGGCGUGUAACAAGAGAGAAAAGAAAAGAGAAGUAGAAAGAUCGAGACUCGAUUGUAUCGUUUAUUCCUGUGUUCAGGACAGCCGAUUAUUUCUCUCCUUGUACGGUGUCCUGGAGUCUUUAUUGUGACAGCGCCUUAUUGUCGUCCACUUCUGGAAAAUUGCGCGCCAUGAAUGCGCCUUUAAGAUCGCCGGGGUCAGUGGAUCUUCUGCCUUGAUCCUUCGGGAUCCCUUAUGCAGAGACUUCGUGAGAAGAUCGCCGGGAAUCGUCGCGACACCCAACACCGACGGGGAUUUUCUUUCUCGUGUUCGAUUUCGAAGACGUCGCUUUUAAAGCAGUUUUAAAGGACUUUUUCAGAUUUUUCAACGACAUUAUUUUAAUCCUUGCCAUCGAAAAUAUUGGUAACAGA